AGCACAGCGACCGGGGCGUGUGAUUGGCGGGCGGGGGGAACAGGUGCAGGGACGGUGGCCAAUAGGAGGAUGCGGUGAGGUGACGGCGAGGGGGAUGCUGCGGACACGGGGACGCGCGGAGAGAAGCUCCGCUGCUGGAGGGAGUUCGUGUCACUGUUCGAACUUCAGCCAUGUUGAUGCCUGCGUGUUGUUCGCGUGUGAGACAGGAGGCGACAUGGCGGAGGAGUCUCCCUCCAGCACGACCUCUGGACAGAGAGACAGAUGCUGCAGGUUGAGCCUUUGUCCACAUGAGGGCAGCCAUUCUCUGUUCCAGUGAAGGAGCCAUAGUCAAAAUGAAACCAGUUGAACCACCUCUUAUUUACUGUAAAUGUUUGAAAAGUGCUCUCCUGUGUCUGUUUGUUUAGGGAAAUCACUGCAGCCCCUCACCUGUCUUCACCUCCUCCAGCAUCCAACGAACUUCAACUGACAAAACCCAGGCACAUGGUGAUGUUUAGCGGAGUUCUUCAUCUCAAGGUCAUCGGGUCAUCAAUAGCUGUUCUCACAUGCUCCGACUGUGACCAGGCCAUGAAGGAUUGUGAAUUCUCGGGGAAAGGGCUCUGAUGAUGAUGACUCCUUCCUCCAUAUUGACAUUGGGAUCCUCCUUGUUGAGCAUGAAGGUGCUGUGCUCUCAUUUUCCCUGCAUCUCAGUUCAGCCUCAAUGAAGAUCAUCAUCAAGGGAGAAGUUUUGAUGGGCAACAUUAGAGACCCGCCAAAGGCUAUGUGUAUUCUGUUUGGACUAGCAUACGCACUUUAUCUCAACUUCCCUAAGUCUAUGAAGCUUACAAACGGUGCAUGAUAGUUCUUAUGUGUCUUUAUUUGUCUUUUGAUUGACAAGCUUUUUUAUUGCCCUGAUAAAACGUUUGAAUUGUUUUUGGUAACAAUAAAAUGCAUUGGAGCAUAAA
Molecule: long non-coding RNA, 941 nt
Organism: Hippoglossus stenolepis (Pacific halibut)
Lineage: Eukaryota; Metazoa; Chordata; Actinopteri; Pleuronectiformes; Pleuronectidae
Exons: 5
Source: RefSeq, a predicted model, not a curated record